Molecule: non-coding RNA, 198 nt
Filed under: chicken gut metagenome
Source: RNAcentral
AACUGAUAAAACGAAAAGUAGAAUGAGUGGGUAACGCCACGAAAUGCUUUCCAUAAGAACUGCGACAUGCAUAAUGAUAGUAAUAGAUAUUAGUAUGUAUGGGAACUCGCUGAAGUCGACUGAAGUAUACCCUAAUGAGUAAUCAAGGAAAUGGUUAUAGAGGUAUAAUCUGUAUAUGAUAGGUCGGUGGUCUAUAAA